This 433-nucleotide ribosomal RNA is filed under the name uncultured bacterium. RNAcentral describes it as "partial 16S ribosomal RNA". It matches the Rfam family "Bacterial small subunit ribosomal RNA", at positions 29 to 507 of the family's 1533-position model. The record is from RNAcentral.
AGCGAACGCUGGCGGCAGGCCUAACACAUGCAAGUCGAACGAACUCUUCGGAGUUAGUGGCGGACGGGUGAGUAACACGUGGGAACGUGCCUUUUGGUUCGGAAUAACUCAGGGAAACUUGUGCUAAUACCGAAUGUGCCCUUCGGGGGAAAGAUUUAUCGCCAUUAGAGCGGCCCGCGUCUGAUUAGCUAGUUGGUGAGGUAACGGCUCACCAAGGCGACGAUCAGUAGCUGGUCUGAGAGGAUGACCAGCCACACUGGGACUGAGACACGGCACAGACUCCUACGGGAGGAAGCAGUGGGGAAUCUUGCGCAAUGGGCGAAAGCCUGACGCAGCCAUGCCGCGUGAAUGAUGAAGGUCCUAGGAUUGUAAAAUUCUUUCACCGGGGACGAUAAUGACGGUACCCGGAGAAGAAGCCCCGGCUAACUUCGUG